GACGGAGGAGGCAAGCGUUAUCCGGAAUUAUUGGGCGUAAAGCGUCCACAGGUGGCGAUUCAAGUCUGCUGUCAAAGGUCGGGGCUUAACCCCGGGAAGGCAGUGGAAACUGAAUAGCUAGAGUGCGGUAGGGGCAGAGGGAAUUCCCGGUGUAGCGGUGAAAUGCGUAGAGAUCGGGAAGAACACCAGUGGCGGAAGCGCUCUGCUGGGCCUGCACUGACACUGAGGGAAGAAAGCUAGGGGAGCGAAAGGG
This 253-nucleotide ribosomal RNA is filed under the name uncultured bacterium. RNAcentral's name for it is "partial 16S ribosomal RNA". It matches the Rfam family "Bacterial small subunit ribosomal RNA", at positions 524 to 776 of the family's 1533-position model. The record is from RNAcentral.